UUCUCUGGUUGAUCCUGCCGGACCCGACUGCUAUCGGAUUGAGACUAAGCCAUGCGAGUCAACCCGCAAGGGUGGCGGACGGCUCAGUAACACGUAGUGAACCUGCCCUGGGGACGUGGACAACCACGGGAAACUGUGGCUAAACCGCGAUAGGUCAUUGUUUCUGGAAUGGGCAAUGGCUCAAACCUACAUGGCCCCAGGAUGGCACUGCGGCCGAUCAGGUUGUUGGUGAGGUAAUGGCCCACCAAGCCUGUAACCGGUACGGGCUCUGAGAGGAGGAGCCUGGAGAUGGGCACUGAGACAAGGGCCCAGGUCCUAUGGGACGCAGCAGGCGCGAAACCUUCGCAAUAGGCGAAAGCCUGACGAGGUUAUUCCGAGUGUUCCCUGCUAAAGGGAUCUUUUGCCAGCUCUAAAAAUGCUGGUGAAUAAGGGGUGGGCAAGACCGGUGCCAGCCGCCGCGGUAAUACCGGCGGCUCGAGUGGUGGCCACUAUUACUGGGCUUAAAGCGUUCGUAGCUGGUUUGUUAAGUCUCUGGGGAAAUCUUCCGGCUUAACCGGAAGGCGUCUCAGGGAUACUGGCAGACUAGGGACCGGAAGAGGUGAGGGGUACUCCAGGGGUAGGAGUGAAAUCCUGUAAUCCUUGGGGGACCACCUGUGGCGAAGGCGCCUCACCAGGACGGCUCCGACAGUGAGGGACGAAAGCUGGGGGAGCAAACCGGAUUAGAUACCCGGGUAGUCCCAGCCGUAAACGAUGUGCGUUAGGUGUAUCGGUGACCACGAGUCACCGAGGUGCCGAAGAGAAAUCGUGAAACGUACCGCCUGGGAAGUACGGUCGCAAGGCUGAAACUUAAAGGAAUUGGCGGGG
This 864-nucleotide ribosomal RNA is filed under the name uncultured archaeon. Its description in RNAcentral is "bacterial SSU rRNA". It matches the Rfam family "Archaeal small subunit ribosomal RNA", at positions 1 to 873 of the family's 1478-position model. The record is from RNAcentral.